Long non-coding RNA from Apis dorsata (giant honeybee), 225 nucleotides. RefSeq lists it as uncharacterized. The transcript is spliced from 2 exons. The record is from RefSeq and is a predicted model, not a curated record. NCBI's taxonomy places the organism in Eukaryota, Metazoa, Arthropoda, Insecta, Hymenoptera, Apidae.
CACACACAUAUUAACGAUUUUUUUCAUAGUCUUGAAAUGAUAUUCGAAUGUAUGAAAAAAAAAAGAGAACACGCAUUGCUUCAACAUCAAGUGGUUCGCCUUGCAUUGUAAAAAUGUCAGUGGGUGAGAUUAAAGGUUAAAGUUUUUCGUGAAUUCUCUAAUAUUUGUCUUCAUUAUGCAUACGUGAAAACAAUAACAAAUUGUUAUGUACACUUAUUGAAAAAA